CACGUAGUUAGCCGUCCCUUUCUGGUAAGCUACCGUCACAGUGUGAACUUUCCACUCUCACACCCGUUCUUGACUUACAACAGAGCUUUACGAUCCGAAAACCUUCUUCACUCACGCGGCGUUGCUCCGUCAGGCUUUCGCCCAUUGCGGAAGAUUCCCUACUGCUGCCUCCCGUAGGAGUCUGGACCGUGUCUCAGUUCCAGUGUGGCCGAUCACCCUCUCAGGUCGGCUACGCAUCGUUGCCUUGGUAAGCCGUUACCUUACCAACUAGCUAAUGCGGCGCGGAUCCAUCUAUAAGUGACAGCAAGACCGUCUUUCACUGUUGAACCAUGCGGUUCAACAUGUUAUCCGGUAUUAGCUCCGGUUUCCCGAAGUUAUCCCAGUUCUUAUAGGUAGGUUAUCCACGUGUUACUCACCCGUCCGCCGUCUAACGUCAGAGGAGCAAGCUCCUCGUCUGUUCGCUCGACUUGCAUGUAUUAGGCACGCCGCCAGCGUUCAUCCUGAGCC
RNAcentral lists this ribosomal RNA (507 nucleotides) under uncultured Staphylococcus sp. RNAcentral describes it as "partial 16S ribosomal RNA". The record is from RNAcentral. Lineage: Bacteria; Bacillati; Bacillota; Bacilli; Caryophanales; Staphylococcaceae.